RNAcentral lists this transfer RNA (68 nucleotides) under Polypedates mutus (Burmese whipping frog). RNAcentral's name for it is "tRNA-Gly". It matches the Rfam family "tRNA". Rfam says of the family: Transfer RNA (tRNA) molecules are approximately 80 nucleotides in length. Their secondary structure includes four short double-helical elements and three loops (D, anti-codon, and T loops). The record is from RNAcentral. Lineage: Eukaryota; Metazoa; Chordata; Amphibia; Anura; Rhacophoridae.
AUUUUUUUAGUAUAAUUGUACAAAUGACUUCCACUCAUUAAGUCCUGGUUUAAGCCCAGGGAAAAAUA